GCUGGGAGGUGGUGGAGCUGCAACCGGGAGUGGAAGAGGGAGGGGGAGAUAAUCGUCUCAUCCGUGUUGAGGUUUCUCAUUGACUACUCAUCUGGGUUUCAUUUUUGACUUUUCAAUUUCUUUCGUCAGGAUGUACCUUCUACAAGACGGCAUGAUGCAUAUCACAUAGAAAGGCGUUAACGGAGCGACCUUCAAUUCUUGUCUUUCAAUUCCUUCCCCCAUUUUUGUGUAUGUAUGUCUUGGUGGGUUAUGCUAAUAUGAAUACGGAAUACAUACUAUUUUAUAGAUAUUUAUUCCGACUCUCGAACGCCCUCUUAGCUUUGCUUAUAACCUUGAUUUUGUGAAAAAAGAGUUGUAAUACAACAAGCAACGCUCCGCGAGUUGCGUUUCAAAGAGAUAUCAUCCCCUCGAGCAACCAUCACCAUCAACAACCACCUGAGCGGUGAUUGAAGAGGCAACUGUCUUAAGUACGCCGAUAAUUCUAUAGUUAUAAUAAAUAAGAAACACCAAAGAUAUACACCUAGCCGGGGAAAAUCGGUUGUAAACGCCGGUGCUCUCUAAUCUGUUUCCAGCCUCUUCUACCCCUUUGGCACAACCUCCUUCUUCACCAACAGCAGCACCAGCCGCUUGACCAUACCCGUAACUGAUUUUAUCAGGGACUUCACCAAUACCUGAGCUUCGCCGAAAACACACUUCAUUUUACCCACGACGCUAACGCCUUCAGGCUUAUCAAACACCACUUGCCCAGGCGGCAACACCCGACUCUUCGCUCCCUCCAACUUCAAGGGCGUAGUUAGUUUAUAUUCCCACACUAGCUCCUCGCCGAUAUAUAAAGAAUACCUUAACACCGAGUUCCUACCGUCCUCAACGUCGAUGUUAACUAUACCCACCUUGUUAUUACCCGCGGGCAGGUAUUUGAUUACGACAUCCUCAUCGUCAGACUGCGAAAAUAUGCCACCGGGGACGUGGAACAUAUUCAGCGGACCAGUGCAAAAUUCGUGAAUACCCAUUCCGUCUUCAGGGCUACUGUCGGCCCCAGAUCCUUUUUGCCCCGGUGUGCCCGCUAGGAACGGGUCGGGAAAUCUUAUCGCGCCAAAUUCAUGUCUAUCACCACUCAGAAGCACGACGCGGACUCCCAAUUCACGCUCUGCCCGCCAGAUAGCGUCAAAGAUCCGGCGGCGUUCACCCAGAAACCCGCCCCAUGUAUCCUCCGUCCCGAUGCGCCAGUUUUUCGAAAACGGGACGCUACUGGCGAUUAUUUUCCACUGAACGCCGGUGGGUUCUUCGCGGGAGAUCCAGUGAAGAAGGGAAUUCAGCUGUGCGGAACCGAGCAUUGUGGAAUUGUCCCGUAGAGGUUCCGAGCGAUAUGUGCGCGUAUCGAGCAUGAAGAAGGAAGCGGGGCCGUUCGUGAAAGAGAAAUAGGUGGUGUUGAAUGGGACGGAGAAAGGAGAUUUAUCGGUUGGUGGGUUAACGCUCAUGUGGUAAUGGCGGUAGGUGUCGAAUGCUGCUGGAUAGGGGUCGGUUUCGUUUCCUAGAUGCCAGUCGUUUGCGAUUUCGUGGUCGUCCAAGGUAUGUAUCCAAGGGAUGUUCAUUGCGGGUUCUGGACCAGUGUACCAUGAUGGAGACGCGUAGACUUUGCGGUAUUCGCUGCGGUAGUGGGAGAUGGAAGAUCCCCAGCGGAAGGGUACGUCAAUAUAGAUAAAAUCCCCUAGGAAGAGCAUGAAUGACGGCCGUGAGAAGGAUGGAAGCUUUGACACAAUCGUGGAAAUAAGCUCGAGGCCGUAGAUCCGCAAGGGGUGGUUUAGAGGGUUGUAAGGGAAGUUUGCCUUCAUGCAACUCGAGCUUAGGAAACUGAGUCUAUAUGCUGCAGCGGAGCCAGGAGCCGCGGCGGUAUUAAAUUUGCCGGACAUGUUAUUUGAGAGCGAGUAUUGAUAUUCCUUGGAAGGCUGAAGUCCAGUCAAAGUAAUAGGAAAAGUGUAAUCGGUGUCAUUGUUGAUAACAUAUAUUACUCCCCCUUCAAACGACUCGCCCUCGCGGCCGUUUUCUAUCACCCUGUACGAUAUAC
This 2065-nucleotide small RNA is filed under the name Histoplasma capsulatum. Its description in RNAcentral is "hypothetical RNA". RNAcentral also lists the same sequence under 1 other name. Lineage: Eukaryota; Fungi; Ascomycota; Eurotiomycetes; Onygenales; Ajellomycetaceae. The record is from RNAcentral.